CCGGCGGCUCAGUGCGGUGUGUGUUGGCAGCCAGCGGUGAGAGCACAUUGACCAGCGCUGAUCUGCUGUGGACAGCCCUUGGAUUGUACCCUAGUACUCAAUAGCUAAGAUGGUGCCAUGUGCUGCUGACGUUGUUACACCGUAAUUAAUCUUGUAACUGAAGAAACUGUAUCUAGGUUUGUACCUAACUUGGCACGUGAAUAACACUUGCCUGGUGCACGCAACAACUCUCAAGAAACUUGACACCAUCCAGGACAAAGCAACCCACUUGACUGGCACCACAUUCAAUCCCUCCA
Molecule: long non-coding RNA, 296 nt
Organism: Chiloscyllium plagiosum (whitespotted bambooshark)
Lineage: Eukaryota; Metazoa; Chordata; Chondrichthyes; Orectolobiformes; Hemiscylliidae
Source: RefSeq, a predicted model, not a curated record